RNAcentral lists this ribosomal RNA (207 nucleotides) under Staphylococcus aureus. RNAcentral describes it as "partial 23S ribosomal RNA". It matches the Rfam family "Bacterial large subunit ribosomal RNA", at positions 2296 to 2502 of the family's 2925-position model. The record is from RNAcentral. Lineage: Bacteria; Bacillati; Bacillota; Bacilli; Caryophanales; Staphylococcaceae.
GGUAACGGAGGCGCGCAAAGGGUCCCUCCGCAUGGUUGGAAAUCCAUCAGACGGUGUCAAGGCAUAAGGGAGCUUGGCUGCGGGACCUACCAGUCGAGCAGGGUCGAAAAACGGACUUAGUGGUCCGGGGGUUCCGCCUGGGAGGGGCAACGCCCAACGGGUAAAAGCCCACCCGGGGGUAACAGGGUUAUCCCCCCCCACGGUUCA